AUUGAACGCUGGCGGCAGGCCUAACACAUGCAAGUCGAACGCCCUAGCAAUAGGGAGUGGCAGACGGGUGAGUAACACGUGGGAACCUUCCCUAUAGUAUGGAAUAGCCCAGGGAAACUUGGAGUAAUACCGUAUACGCCCGAGAGGGGAAAGAUUUAUCGCUAUAGGAUGGGCCCGCGUAGGAUUAGCUAGUUGGUGAGGUAAUGGCUCACCAAGGCGACGAUCCUUAGCUGGUCUGAGAGGACGACCAGCCACACUGGAACUGAGACACGGUCCAGACACCUACGGGUGGCAGCAGUAGGGAAUAUUGCGCAAUGGGCGAAAGCCUGACGCAGCCAUGCCGCGUGGAUGAUGAAGGCCUUCGGGUCGUAAAGUCCUUUUCUGAGGGAAGAACUGCCGGGGGAGGAAAUGCCCUUGGCUUGACGGUACCUCAGGAAUAAGCAACGGCUAACUCCGUGCCAGCAGCCGGGUAAUCAUACUCGUA
RNAcentral lists this ribosomal RNA (484 nucleotides) under uncultured bacterium. RNAcentral describes it as "bacterial SSU rRNA". It matches the Rfam family "Bacterial small subunit ribosomal RNA", at positions 30 to 529 of the family's 1533-position model. The record is from RNAcentral.